AUUGAACGCUGGCGGCAUGCCUUACACAUGCAAGUCGAACGGCAGCACGGACUUCGGUCUGGUGGCGAGUGGCGAACGGGUGAGUAAUGUAUCGGAACGUACCUUUCAGUGGGGGAUAACGUAGCGAAAGUUACGCUAAUACCGCAUAUUCUGUGAGCAGGAAAGCAGGGGAUCGCAAGACCUUGCGCUGAUUGAGCGGCCGAUAUCAGAUUAGCUAGUUGGUGGGGUAAAGGCCUACCAAGGCUACGAUCUGUAGCGGGUCUGAGAGGAUGAUCCGCCACACUGGAACUGAGACACGGUCCAGACUCCUACGGGAGGCAGCAGUGGGGAAUUUUGGACAAUGGGGGCAACCCUGAUUCAGCCAUGCCGCGUGAGUGAAGAAGGCCUC
This 388-nucleotide ribosomal RNA is filed under the name uncultured bacterium. Its description in RNAcentral is "bacterial SSU rRNA". It matches the Rfam family "Bacterial small subunit ribosomal RNA", at positions 30 to 418 of the family's 1533-position model. The record is from RNAcentral.